Siniperca chuatsi (mandarin fish) is the source of this 510-nucleotide non-coding RNA. The record is from the annotation of a RefSeq genome assembly. Lineage: Eukaryota; Metazoa; Chordata; Actinopteri; Centrarchiformes; Sinipercidae.
GGACGACAGAGAACAGUGGACACACAGUUUAACAUGAUGGACUAUAGGACAGGACUGCUGCUUUUAACUCUCUGCUGGGCAGGUGUUGAUGGUCAGACUCUGACAGAAUCUGAACCAGUGGUUAAAAGGCCUGGAGAAUCUCACAGAUUGACCUGUACAGCCUCUGGAUUCACAUUCAGCAGCUACGGGAUGCACUGGGUCAGACAGGCUCCUGGAAAAGGACUGGAGUGGAUCGCUUAUAUCAGCAGUGGUGGUGGUAGCAGCCAAUCCUACUCUCAGUCAGUUCAAGGCCGGUUUACCAUCUCCAGAGACGACUCCAGCAGUAAACUCUAUCUACAGAUGAACAGUCUGAAGACCGAGGACACAGCAGUGUAUUACUGUGCCAGAAAAGACACAGUGAGAGACAAUAAUAGGAGAGUCAUACAAAAACUACUUCCUCUAUUUACCACCACCACUGGGAACACUCACUUUCUUUUCUUCAGUAUCACUUUUUUGCAAUUCUUCUGCUGA